Molecule: ribosomal RNA, 523 nt
Filed under: uncultured bacterium
Lineage: Bacteria
Description: partial 16S ribosomal RNA
Rfam family: Bacterial small subunit ribosomal RNA
Source: RNAcentral
GACGAACGCUGGCGGCGUGCCUAAUACAUGCAAGUCGAACGCUUUUUCUUUCACCGGAGCUUGCUCCACCGAAAGAAAAAGAGUGGCGAACGGGUGAGUAACACGUGGGUAACCUGCCCAUCAGAAGGGGAUAACACUUGGAAACAGGUGCUAAUACCGUAUAACACUAUUUUCCGCAUGGAAGAAAGUUGAAAGGCGCUUUUGCGUCACUGAUGGAUGGACCCGCGGCGCAUUAGCUAGUUGGUGAGGUAACGGCUCACCAAGGCAACGAUGCAUAGCCGACCUGAGAGGGUGAUCGGCCACACUGGGACUGAAACACGGCCCAGACUCCUACGGGAGGCAGCAGUAGGGAAUCUUCGGCAAUGGACGAAAGUCUGACCGAGCAACGCCGCGUGAGUGAAGAAGGUUUUCGGAUCGUAAAACUCUGUUGUUAGAGAAGAACAAGGAUGAGAGUAAAAUGUUCAUCCCUUGACGGUAUCUAACCAGAAAGCCACGGCUAACUACGUGCCAGCCGCCGCAGUAA